Onychomys torridus (southern grasshopper mouse) is the source of this 363-nucleotide long non-coding RNA. RefSeq lists it as uncharacterized. Lineage: Eukaryota; Metazoa; Chordata; Mammalia; Rodentia; Cricetidae. The transcript has 3 exons. The record is from RefSeq and is a predicted model, not a curated record.
UCUAGCACGGGUGAAUUACCAGCGUCCUCACUCUUGGACCGCGGGGCUGCUGUAAAGGGACUCAGGAUUAUUUAAAACAAGCCCCGCUGUGCUGGAGUCCUGAGGCGACUAAAAAGGUAGGUAGCAUGCACACCUGCAUGAGCCGGACAAAAGGAUUCGUGACCUGAGUGACAGCGUGCUGCCUAGAAUGGCUCAUGAUUCUGCAUUUCAUGUUCUCCGAGGCCGACCACGGACUGUGUCUGUAAUGGUGCUCGCACACGGUGUCGCAGUCGCCUCUGACUCCUCUCCAGCUCAACUGCUCUUCUAAGGAAAGCACCGAGAAGACAACGAAGAACCCCGCCCCAUCCCCUACUUCCUCUCUCC